AAUAACCCCUUUCUUUAAAUGGUAAAAUCUUAAGCAACACAUGUUUUUUUCAGUGCUUUUGCCGAAGGCGUCUACGUGCGCUGCAGUGCGGAGCACGAGCCGACAGUCGUUAAUUUCACCAUUCGCCUCCGCGCACAUCGUAUAUGACUGAUUGUCUGCCGAGGCCCAAGACGUCGGUCGUCGUAAACAGCUUAUCAGGUCGGUGAGGCGAUGUGGUUACCCGUCGAAACCGCUGGAACGGCGACCAGAUCGAGAACCUGUCACAGACAGGGGCCGAGACACCGGCGGCCACAUGCAAUAAUCACCCGGUGGAGCAAAGUACACCGGCCGACCGACGUCAUUGUGGAACGCUGACGCAACGACCUUGUCGAACGGCCCACCUCCCGGCGAUCCCACGACCCACCCACCUUGAUGACGCCAGCCCAAUGUCCAACCUGCCGCCGGUGAGUCACCAGUCGCCAGUGACUCCCAUUUGGUUUAAUUCGAUGACUGGCAAUCUUGCGGAUCACAUAUUGCAGGAUGUUGGACGACUUAGCUUUUCUCGGAAUCUUGAAAUCCCACUGAGCAAUGCAGUGAAUUUGAUGGGGAAUGCAAGGCGGAACUGGCUGGGAUUACGAUUGGAUUUUAGUGCGGAACUUAGGUGGUUUACAAUAUUAUAUUCCCAAAUCAUAAAGCCUAGACUAUCUAUGAACACU
This is a non-coding RNA of Drosophila suzukii, 695 nucleotides long. Lineage: Eukaryota; Metazoa; Arthropoda; Insecta; Diptera; Drosophilidae. The record is from RefSeq and is a predicted model, not a curated record.